Molecule: small nuclear RNA, 108 nt
Filed under: Tupaia belangeri (northern tree shrew)
Lineage: Eukaryota; Metazoa; Chordata; Mammalia; Scandentia; Tupaiidae
Source: RNAcentral
GUGCUUACUUUGGCAGCACAUACACUAAAAUUGGAACAAUACAGAGAAGAUCAGCAAGGGUCCCUGUGUAAGGAUGACAUGCAAAUUUGUGAAGUGUUCCACAUUUUU